Physeter macrocephalus (sperm whale) is the source of this 6975-nucleotide long non-coding RNA. RefSeq lists it as uncharacterized. The record is from RefSeq and is a predicted model, not a curated record. The transcript has 3 exons. Lineage: Eukaryota; Metazoa; Chordata; Mammalia; Artiodactyla; Physeteridae.
GAAGCCAAAAACUAAGAGGUCUUUUCACAGAAGGCAGUAGACAGAACGGCACUGGGCAGAAACCUGAACCAAGAAGGGACCGGGCACCGGGAGACGAGGCCCAGAGAAGGGAAGAUAACACCAGGCCUCCCAGUCCCGGCCCUGGAGUCUCUCGCUAGCUGGUCUGGGUGCUCGAGGCUGGCAGGCCCAGGUGGGUGGCCCCGGGCACGCGGUGAGGACCCUGACAUCACAGGGAGAAGACCCAGGCUGAGAACACUGAGGUGUGCAGGGCCCCCUCGAGUCCCUGGAGGAUUCAGAUCUAAACAUGGAGAGAAGAUAUACCAAGUCCAUGGACACCUGUAGCAGGGCCCUGUGCGGCAGGGGCUGCUCAGCACGUACACGACAGUUUUAGGCACGAAAAGUCAGCCGUGGGGACGGAUGUGACUCAGCGUUGUUGCUCCGUGUCACGGGCACCAGAGCUGGUGACAAAUACCACCGAGGGCCUUACACAUCCAAUUCCGUACCACAGGGCUCACAAAACAAACCUGAGGCUGUGCAGCUGGACAAAACCCCAGGACAGGGCAGGGAUAAAGAAACUGCGCCUGAAGGGGCACGGGCUACAAGGGCCAGGAAAGACUGCUUAGAGCCCAGGCGUAAGCGCCCACCAGCACGUGACCACGUAGCCACGGAGCAAAGAGCAGCCAAGAAAGCAAUGCAAGGAAACAAGGAGAAGGGAAUCAAAGCACGACUUCCUCUUGGCCCGUGAAAAACCCCCGCAAACAGGUUUCCGCCCUAAUCUCUCUCCACUUGAGAGUCUAAUUUUGGAAACCUCGCUGGAUGGGACUGUGGUACUUCGUGUCCUCAAGUGGCAUUUUACUUGGCUCAGGGAGCUGGCGGAGGAGCACACAUGCAGAAGAGAAGCAGGGAGCAUGAGGGUCCUCCGUGUCUCCCUCACCACGUGACUCGUCCGUGAGUGAGCACAGCACACACGGUGGCACAUGGGACGGCAGCGGACACGUGACCAUGCUCGCAGAGAAACAGCACGGCCCAUUCAGAGAUGAUGGGGUCCAACUUAAAAGCAACACUUGGCUGUAAUUCAGUGUGAUGGGCAGGGGGUAUCUCUAACUAGAAUUGUAGCCUUUGGAGCCAAAGGAACCUAACUCCCAACUCUUCUGGCCUAUUCCCCACCUUUACACAUGGGAAAGCAGCCCUGCAGGGCUGAGCAAUGUCCGCGAGAUCAUGUACUUAGCACCCCAGAACCUGGCUCCGUCGCAACUAGACCAGACACAAGCCUGAACUGGGCCUUGUACUCUGUACUCUGGUACUCAGCCAGACCUGUGCCAUUUAACCAGGGCUUCCAGUCACCAAGACCGAGUCCCCCGCAACCCCUAGGAAUUUGCCCUCAUCUGGAUUAAGAAAGAAAGAGAGGGAAGAAAGUCGAGAAAGACAGGGAAACACCAGAAAAAAAGGGGGGAGAAAAAGAAAUGAAAGCAUAUCAUAGUUGUAAUUCCCCACUUUUCAGGUUCAAUUUUCUGAAAUUUCUAGAAAACAGCAAAAGAGUUCAUAGAAUCUUCUCUGGAAGAAGAGACCUGGCUUUUUAUUUCUUUUUCUUGCCUUAUUCUACGGCUCAGAUCUAUGGUACAUUAUUGAAUAGAAAUAGCAAAAGAGGACACCCCUGCCUUGUUUCUGAUCUUACUGGGAAUGUUUUCAAUACUUCACCUAGAGACGGAAAAGUACGCAGUUCUCGCGCCUGGUGAAAGGCGCCGACCCUGCCUGAACGAAGAUGGAAAGGACCAGCCAGCUGCUCGGAGGCCCAGCCGCCAGGAUGGGAGCACAGGGCAGGGUCUGCAGGACAGGCUCGCCCACUGACCCCCACCCCGGGCCCUCCCGCGUCAUGUGAGUCUGUGAGGAGCUCGCGGGGGUGUCCCAGGACGCUCAGGUGAGGCCAGCAUUCCCUGCACCUGACCUGUGGACCUGUGGAAUCCUCCUACUGGUAGCCUGACCCUCUUGUUCAUUGAAAUCAUAAAAGGGGGCUCAGUACACUGAAAUGUCACAGACGGAAAUGAUUCAUCAGGUCAGCAAAAUACAUUCCCCCAGGGCCCUUCCCCUGACACCCCAGGGGGUCUCAAACUCCCCCCAGCACCUGGCCUCCCUCCCCUCUGCUUCCCGCCUCCUUUGCUGAAGGGCCCCCCAUCCCGCUGGCAUCCUCCACCCUCCUUCAGCGCCACAUCCAACAGAGCCCCCGCCUGACUGACACCGCCACCACUCAGGCGCUCCAUACGUUCAGGCGGGCCGGACGGGCACCUCCCCCGUGGGUUCUGCUAAGAGCCUCCAGCAUCUCAAUCCAUUAAAUGUUUCUUUUCCUCAUCAUGCAAAGCUGUGGAAAAAUAGCAAAGUUCUAUAAUAAAGCUUGUGUGUGCCCAUUAAUAUGAAUUAAACUUUAAUGAGCUAAGUGUUAUGAAUUCCUGAGGCACGUCCAAUACAGUUUACGUGUAUUUAUCAGAGAAAAUGAAAAUGGAAGCUAGACCCUUUUUCUCUGGGCGAUACUUUUCCUUCAGGAAAAUCAGGCAGACUUUGCAAAGGUCAAGGCUGAUCUUUGAGGUUUUCUUGUCCUUCCCCUGGAAAACAAAUCUAGCUCCAGCUACCAGUUUAUAGGAAAUACGUGUUUAAAGGAACAGGUUCGAAGGCCACCAGGAGGCUCUGAUCAGUCAGGUGUGGAAGGAUAAAAUCGAAGGGCAAAAGCCCCAGCUCCUCAGGGUGGAUAGGUGAGCUGCUACAGAGUAAACACUGCAGACCGGUCACUCAGUCCCAAGGCUUGCAUCCUGAUUUGAACAAAUGACAGAACCGAGACUUUUUUAAAGACAACAAGCAAAAAUGGAACAUAGCUUGGGUAUAAGAUGAUAGUGGGAAUUAUUAUUCGUUUUGUUGAGUGUGACAAUGGGAUUGUAUCUGUUAGAAACACACACUGAAGUGUUUAUGGGAAAAUGCUGUGGCAUCUGGGGUUUGUUUUAAAUUCUCCAGGGGAUAAAGUUUGGAGCGGGGGGACCUGAUGAAGUGGGAAUGGUCAGAAAGCUCAGGGUUUCUAUGGGCACAGGGGAUCUCACUAUAUGGACUACAGUUCAUCUUUCUUUUUUUUAAUUUUUCAUGAUAAGAGUUUUCGAGAGACGCCAAGACAAGCCCCUCUCUUCCUGUUCCUUAGCAUCCGUCCUCGCUUCACAUCUGCCAGCUCGGUCUAACCAGUUGUCUCAGUAACAUCCCUUACAAUCUCCAGUUUAUUACCAGCCCCUAGCUGUGCAAGCAAGCAAACCCUCCCAGCUCGCGUUCAACUCAACCAAUGGGUCCUGAGCAUCUGAGAUGUGACGAUGAGCAGGACACAGGCCCCAGCUGGUGCCAGGCAGAGCUCAGCCCCGGCGAGGGUGGGCCGGCCCUCACCGAUUUCAGAUACGACCCACAGACCAGAAAGCGCUGGUAGUGAGGAAGGACACACAGCGAGUGUGACCACGGGCCACCAGGAGGGGCCUGGACCACAGCUGCCCGGGGCGGAGCGGGCUCUGUCCGGUCCCCAGGUCCCAGGCCCAGCUCGGAGCUGCACGACGGGAAGGAGCGAGGGCCAGGGAGGGAUAUGCGAGGGAGCGAGUAAAGAAAACAGCUUCGCGGGUGGGCAGCGCUGGAGCCCAGGCCGCGGUGCCCUGGGAGGCCAGACAAAGGCCGGCUCUGUUCUCCCUGGUCCCGGCAGCCUUUCCUGAGGGGAGUUUCUCAGCUGCCUUUCAGAUGGUCCUCCAGGGACGGUCUGCUCCUGCCCCUCCCUCCCUAGUGAGCUGACAGCUCUCAGCUGUCCCCAUCGCGUGGCCCGGCCCAGCUCAACCGUUAAUAAGUGACUUGGAAAAUCAGGAGAAAAUGUCCUUGCCCGCCUUUGAAAACAGAUCCGUCUCUGCCCCGGAGAGGCUGUCCAUCUGCCCUGUGGGGGGGACAUAACUGAGUGAGUCGUUCCAAAGCUGUUGGUAGAGCUCUGGAGACGUAGGAGGGGAAAGAACCUCGGAUGCAAAAGGUGCAGAUUUCUCAGACACUGUGUGACAAAUAAUGGACCACAGAAGUCCCACGGGAGCCCCGCACAAGAGCACACAGCGAACCCGCAUCUCUGCGCUGACGCAAAAUAGCUUUCUGGACAGAGACCCCCGGCUCACGUCAGUAAUGACGAGAAGUAGCAUAGUUACCGGCAAAGACUGAAAACUAGCUCUGAAGCCCGCUUGUCCGUAACCACGCUUCCUCCGGUUGCUCAGACCAGCCCACCCGGCCGUGAAAAUCCACAGGCGACCCCGCCACCACCGUUUUCUGCCGCUGUCCGACCUUCUGAACCAACCCCUCCUAACUGCCCAGCGGUCAGGUGAGCAGAACUCCCAGCUGAGCUCAUCCCCUCAGGACAGAGCGGACCUCUGCCGGGAAGGAGGCCGCGUGGCCCCGGGGGACUCGGGGUCGGACAGGCCUGGCUUCCCCAACACGCGAGGCUUCAUUAGUGAUCGUGUCGUUUCAACCCAGCCUCAGUCUCCUCAUGUGUUAAGUGGAGAGGUCAACUGACACAGGAGUAGAUAAAAUAAUGUAUAUAAAGAAAGAGAUACAAAAUGUGCCCCUCCCACCUCAUCUGCCCCUCUGUGAUGCUAGCUAGCGGGCAGUCCCGCCGGCACAGAGGACACACGUCUCAUCCCACAGCAAGACACCUGAUGGGGCAAAGCAUCUCCUGAAGCUGUGAGUCAGCCACUAAAACCACCGGCUGGAUGACCAGCUCCCCGCACGCUUUCCACGCUGCUGAGCAUUAAAGAUUAGCUGAGAGGUGUUUGUGGUUAAGUGACAGGAAGCCGGAAAAGAGGUACAUGUUAAUAAGCAGCUCACGAGAAAUGAGUCAGUAACUCAAAACAAUAAACCCCAAACGGCCACUUGGAACAAGUCUGCGCAGGCAAGUUCACAGCGUGGCUGGAGAGCGUUUGCGGGGAGCGUGCCCCGGAGGCCCGGGCAACAUGGACACCCGAGCUGCGGCCCUGGCUCACCCUCCCAGCCACGUCGGACUCGAAAGCGCUGCUAGUUCUUUGUCUCGAAAAGGGCUCCUUUGCCCUUUCCCUUUAAUGCAAUGGGAGGGCCCAGAGGGACUGAGAGAGGCUGGACUGACACAGCAGCAGCGCCCCAGGGACACGCGGCCCUUGUGUCCCUCCGGCCGACGUCUGCUGACGGUGUGCGGUGGCCACAGCACCCUGGGUGGAGAGGCUUUCUCCCCAGCUCUCUUUAGGACAAUAUUUAGUAUUGAUAUAAUUCACUGUUUCUAAACCAUUGUUCUGGCCAGCUCCUAAACAACAUCAGUCAAGUUUACCUUCUAACUUAGAAAUAACAGCUAACCAGUAACAGGCACUGAUUAGGGGUCAGGUACCUGUCCAAGCCUUUCAUUCACAUCAGCUCGGUCAGUCCUCACCAGGAAACGAAUGGCAUAAAUACUAUUAUUGUCCACAUUUUAAAGGUGAAGAAAGUCAGCAAGAGAGAUGGUGACGGUUGUCUUGAUCAAGGUCAGGAAGUUCUGCCUCUAAGCGCUAACCCACCAAGCCACCAGGUCCGAAUCACAUCAUUCAGUCAUUCAGCAAAUUUUACUGAACGAGUUACGGAGCGAUUGUCCUCAUUCCAGGGGAUACAGCCUCGAGCGACACUGAGUUCCAGCACCCCAAACUUCCACUAGUGAAGAGGAGGUGACACACGUAAACAGAUCGUGUGGGAUCAUGUGCUGAGCAGGAUGUGAUGGGGGUUGUUCCUUAGAUAGGUCCUUGGGAGGUGGCGACAUCUGAGCAGUGCCUGAAUGGCAGGUGAGAAGGAGCCGUGGAAACUAUCCCAAGGAAGAGCAUCCUAGGCAUGGUGACAGCACGUGCAAAGGCCCUGAGGUGGAACAAGCUUGGUGGGUCCCAGGCAGCAGAGCCGAGUAACCAGGUCUGAGUGAGAGAGACAGGGUCCGGAGGGCCCCAGGCCUGGAGGCAGAGAGUAUUGACCAGGGCCAGGAGGGACCGAAGAGGGGCCAGAAGCAGGAAGAAGAGCUGGGAGGCUGUCUCUGAGGCCUGGAGGAGAACGGUGGCCACGGAGCUGGGGGCAACGGCCUGAUUUGGGAUCUGUUUGGAAGGUGAUCUGUCAGGACUUUCCGGCUGGACGGGAGGCGGGUGGCUGGAAGGCAAGGUCCCUCUCGGAGUGUGAAGGACAGGGAGGGGACUGCGGCGGGCUCACGCGUGCUGGCGGAGAGGCGGGAGAUGAGGAACACAGAUCACUGGCCUUGUUGGCUCUAAGAGACCUACUUUGACGAGCAGACAGGACUUCGAAACCCCCUCUGAUCCUUUCUUUAUGACUUUCUCAGAAAAAAAUAGAAGUUCAGGAUUUGUCAAUGGCUCAAAAUUCAAGUUAACGAAUGUUCUCAUUUGGUUUAUCCCACUCAUUUUGCCAGUUUGUAAGUCUGAAGGCUGCUCUACCCCGUCCUUAACAGCAUCUUGACUUCUGUCCUAAUUUCUGCCAUCCAGACUCUCAGCAUCUUGGGUGGGGCUGCAGCCUUCUGAACUACUAAGCUCUUUAGCUGAGCUGCUAAAGAAAUAAAAAAGGAACUGGAUAUUAGAUGAUACCUACCCCACCCAGAAAUCUUGUGUCAGGAAACAGUUCUUAAAAUACAUACCAGCGGUGAAAGUAUGUUUCAUGGAUCUCGCUGGUGUUAGUUUCUCUCAUGCCUUUACCGAAACGCACAAUCCUACAGAGGCUCUUCAUUUCAGAACUUAACCCUCGUCUGGAGGACGAGACCCGGCCGUGCCCUGAGGCCGAGCAGGUGCCCGCCCGGGCAGCCUGAGCACCGGCCACCAUGAGGACGCUGCACGCUUUCCCACCGGGCCGCACGUACGGCCUCCGCUUACAUGGACCGCCCUGGCUUAGCUCCGUUUCUCUGACCAGCGCACCGUCAGGAGCCCAGUGUGCCCCAGGCCCAGCCUCAGG